Molecule: small nuclear RNA, 102 nt
Organism: Ochotona princeps (American pika)
Lineage: Eukaryota; Metazoa; Chordata; Mammalia; Lagomorpha; Ochotonidae
Source: Ensembl
CUGCUUCGGCAGCACAUAAACUAAAAUUGGAACGAUAUAAGCAGAUUAGCAAGGCCCCUGUGCAAGGAUGACACACAAAUUCGUGAAGUGUUCCAUAUUUUC